UAUCUCUACUUGUGUGAAUUAUCUUCUCCUACGUAAUAUCUCUUCAGUUUCAGCAAUAAUUUGAAGGCGAUGAAGAUGGGAGACGGAAGUAUAUAUAAAGAUGGAAGAAAUUAGCCGCCCUCUUGUUCUAAACACAUCUGAUUGAGAUUUCGGGUAUGCGUUUCUUGCAUACAGUAAAAAACCAGAUGAAUAUAUCAUGAGAGUAGUGCAGUUGACUCUACUGCUGUUGUUAUUAUCCCUUUGUUUUCCCUUGUAGUGCUUUGUUUUAUUGAUCUACUCAUGAAACAGCUAUGUGGGUGGCUUGCCAUUAUAUUUUAUUGAAGUUUCUAUGGUUGUCUCAGCUGCUAGUAGUAGUAAUUUCGCCAUUAUUAAUUUUCUAUUGAUUAUUUCUGAGGCUGGAGAAUUAUGAGAGCAUAAGCAUGUUCCUACCAUGGAAAAUGGGAUUUAUUUUUACUUUUUUCCUUUUUUUCACUUGUCU
RNAcentral lists this long non-coding RNA (478 nucleotides) under Manihot esculenta (cassava). RNAcentral describes it as "long non-coding RNA (MESC_LNC012414)". The record is from RNAcentral. Lineage: Eukaryota; Viridiplantae; Streptophyta; Magnoliopsida; Malpighiales; Euphorbiaceae.